Halogeometricum pallidum JCM 14848 is the source of this 175-nucleotide non-coding RNA. Lineage: Archaea; Methanobacteriati; Methanobacteriota; Halobacteria; Halobacteriales; Haloferacaceae. The record is from Rfam.
AAGUAUCUCCGAGUCUCGCCUGUGAUGGGGGAGAUAGGAGUAACGGUUGGUUGGCACAGCCAUCGGUGUACCUGUUCGAUUCAGAGAGCGGAUGCUUCGCACCGCGAGAAUAGGUUACGUCGUAAACCACAAUAUCCCAACGGCGGUCGGGAAUCCUCGCCCUUUAGCGCGGGGA